RNAcentral lists this ribosomal RNA (537 nucleotides) under Triticum aestivum (bread wheat). RNAcentral describes it as "partial small subunit ribosomal RNA". Lineage: Eukaryota; Viridiplantae; Streptophyta; Magnoliopsida; Poales; Poaceae. The record is from RNAcentral.
AUGAAUUUACUAUUUUGGAACUGCCGAGAGGCAGGAAACCGCCAGACAGUUCAUGAGGUUGUGGCCCUCUCAAAAGCCAAUUCCCCGUCCUUUGUAUUUCUUUAUGAGACGAGGAAAAUGGUAGAAAAGAUCCAGAAAGUUAAAUGGAGAUUGCAAUUGAGUGGCUGUGGCCUGGAUAGUCUGGGACUCAGUGGUGGCCUGGCUCUAUAUUGGGAUGAGACACUCAAUGUCUCUAUCUUAGAUUCUUGUCAAUGUUUUAUUGAUGUGCUUGUGGAAAAUAAUAGUAACAAUACAAGGUGGAGAGCAACGUUCGUUUAUGGCGAGCCUAGGGUGGAGAACCGUUAUAGGAUGUGGAAUAACUUGAAUGAUCCGCGAGCAAUAUCGCAUGAUCCUUGGCUUGUUUGUAGAGAUUUUAAUGAAGCAUUAUGGCAACAUGAACACUUUUCAUGUUUGUUACAGAAUGAAAGUCAAAUGGCGCCCUUUAGACUGUUUAAUGCAUGCUAUGUGAACUUGAGGAUUUGGGUUUCUCCGGUGUGA